RNAcentral lists this ribosomal RNA (477 nucleotides) under uncultured organism. RNAcentral's name for it is "partial 16S ribosomal RNA". It matches the Rfam family "Bacterial small subunit ribosomal RNA", at positions 331 to 799 of the family's 1533-position model. The record is from RNAcentral.
GUACACUCCUGCGGGAGGCAGCAGUGGGGAAUUUUGGACAAUGGGCGAAAGCCUGAUCCAGCAAUGCCGCGUGCAGGAUGAAGGCCUUCGGGUUGUAAACUGCUUUUGUACGGAACGAAAAAGCUCCUUCUAAUACAGGGGGCCCAUGACGGUACCGUAAGAAUAAGCACCGGCUAACUACGUGCCAGCAGCCGCGGUAAUACGUAGGGUGCGAGCGUUAAUCGGAAUUACUGGGCGUAAAGCGUGCGCAGGCGGUUAUGUAAGACAGAUGUGAAAUCCCCGGGCUCAACCUGGGAACUGCAUUUGUGACUGCAUGGCUAGAGUACGGUAGAGGGGGAUGGAAUUCCGCGUGUAGCAGUGAAAUGCGUAGAUAUGCGGAGGAACACCGAUGGCGAAGGCAAUCCCCUGGACCUGUACUGACGCUCAUGCACGAAAGCGUGGGGAGCAAACAGGAUUAGAAACCCUGGUAGUCCCAUG